Cyprinus carpio carpio is the source of this 1157-nucleotide long non-coding RNA. Lineage: Eukaryota; Metazoa; Chordata; Actinopteri; Cypriniformes; Cyprinidae. The record is from Ensembl.
UGAUUCUAAUGUGGACGUGCUCAUAGGGGUCAAAACUGUUGUAAAGAUUGAUUGAGCUGUCGCUAUAGAUUCAGUUUCUGUGGUAGAACUAAACUGAGUGGUUUGAGCCUGCUGGCUUGUUGUUUGCUCCACACUGGAAGUGGGUAUUUCUGCUAUUGAUGAAGUGAAUUCUGAUGUACUUUGUCCUUCUGUCGCAGUAGAUGGUGAAAAUGGAGAGGUAUCUGUUGUGGACAAUGUAGUUUCCCCUGUUUUAACACUUUCAAGUGUAGAUGAUUCUAAUGUUGACAUGCUCGUAGGGGUCAUAACUGUUGUUAAGGUUGAUUGAGCUGUCGUUGUAGAUUCAGUUUCUGUGGUAGAACUAAACUGAGUGGUUUGUGUUUGUUGGCUUGUUGUUUGCUCUACACUGGAAGUAGGUAUUUCUGCUGUUGAUGAAAUCAGUUCUGAUGUACUUUGUCCUUCUGUUGUGGUAGACGGUAAGGAUGGAGAGGUACCUAUUGUGGAUAAUGUAGUUUCCAAUGUUGAACCACUUUCAAGUGUAGACGAUUCUAAUGUCAACAUACUCGUAAGUGACAAAACUGUUGUAAAGGUUGAUUGAGCUGUCGUUGUAGAUUCAGUUUCUGUGGUAGAACUAAACUGAGUGGUUUGAGCCUGCUGGCUUGUUGUUUUCUCUACACUGGAAGUCGGUAUUUCUUUUGUUGAUGAAGUGAAUUCUGAUGUAUUUUGUUCUACUGUUGUAGUAGAUGGUGAAAACGGAGAGGUACCUAUUGUGUGUAUUGUAGUUUCCAUUGUUGAACCACUUAUAAGUGAAGAUGAUUCAAAUGUGGACAUGCUCAUAGGGGUCAUAGCUGUCGUAAAUAUUGAUUGAGCUGUCGUUGUAGAUUCAGUUUCUGCGGUAGAACUAAGCUGAGUUGUUUGUGCCUGCUGGCUUGUUGUUGGCUCUACACUGGAAGUAGAUAUUUUUGCUGUUGUUGAAAUCAUUUGUGAUGUACUUUGUCCAUCUGUUGUGGUAGACGGUAAGGAUGGAGAGGUACCUGUUGUGGAUAAUGUCAUUUCCAGUGUUGAACCACUUUCAAGUGUAGAUGAUUCUAAUGUGGACGUGCUCAUAGGGGUCAAAACUGUUGUAAAGGUUGAUUGAGCUGUCGCUGUAGGUUCUAUGU